GGAUUGACACAUCGGUCGUGCCCUAAGGGGUAUGAACUGGUGUAGUCAAUUUCUCACCUUCUGGAGAACCGCGAUGCCCUUAAUUGGGUGUCACGGGGAACCAGGACCUUUACUUUGAAAAAAUUAGAGUGUUCAAAGCAGGCAAUCGCUUGGAUACAUUAGCAUGGAAUAAUGGAAUAG
RNAcentral lists this ribosomal RNA (180 nucleotides) under uncultured Glomeromycotina. Its description in RNAcentral is "partial small subunit ribosomal RNA". The record is from RNAcentral. Lineage: Eukaryota; Fungi; Glomeromycota.